CAAUAGCGUAUAUUUAAGUUGUUGCAGUUAAAAAGUUCGUAGUCGGAUUUUGGCUGAGAACGAACGGUCCGCCGUUAGGUGUGCACUGUUUGGUCUCAGCUUCCUGGUGAGGAGGUGUGCUUCACGGCCACUUAGUCACCGUGGUUACUUUGAAAAAAUUAGAGUGUUCAAAGCGGGCUUACGCUUGAAUAUAUUAGCAUGGAAUAACACCAUAGGACUCCUGUCCUAUUUCGUUGGUCUCGGGACGGGAGUAAUGAUUAAGAGGAACAGUUGGGGGCAUUCGUAUUUCAUUGUCAGAGGUGAAAUUCUUGGAUUUAUGAAAGACGAACUUCUGCGAAAGCAUUUGCCAAGGAUGUUUUCAUUGA
RNAcentral lists this ribosomal RNA (365 nucleotides) under uncultured eukaryote. RNAcentral describes it as "partial 18S ribosomal RNA". It matches the Rfam family "Eukaryotic small subunit ribosomal RNA", at positions 592 to 976 of the family's 1831-position model. The record is from RNAcentral.